CGGCAGGCCUAAUACAUGCAAGUCGAGGGGUAGAGAGAGCUUGCUUUCUUGAGACCGGCGCACGGGUGCGUAACGCGUAUGCAACCUACCUUUAUCUGGGGGAUAGCCCGGAGAAAUCCGGAUUAAUACCGCAUAAAAUCACAGAAUAGCAUUAUUUAAUGAUCAAACAUUUAUGGGACGAAGAUGGGCAUGCGUGUCAUUAGCUAGUUGGCGGGGUAACGGCCCACCAAGGCGACGAUGACUAGGGGAUCUGAGAGGAUGGCCCCCCACACUGGUACUGAGACACGGACCAGACUCCUACGGGAGGCAGCAGUAAGGAAUAUUGGUCAAUGGAGGCAACUCUGAACCAGCCAUGCCGCGUGCAGGAAGACUGCCCUAUGGGUUGUAAACCGCUUUUAUCCGGGAAUAAACCUUUCUACGUGUAGGAAGCUGAAUGUACCGGAAGAAUAAGGAUCGGCUAACUCCGUGCCAGCAGCCGCGGUAAUACGGAGGAUCCAAGCGUUAUCCGGAUUUAUUGGGUUUAAAGGGUGCGUAUGCGGCCUGUUAAGUCAGGGGUGAAAGACGGUAGCUCAACUAUCGCAGUGCCCUUGAUACUGAUGGGCUUGAAUGGACUAGAGGUAGGCGGAAUGAGACAAGUAGCGGUGAAAUGCAUAGAUAUGUCUCAGAACACCGAUUGCGAAGGCAGCUUACUAUGGUCUUAUUGACGCUGAGGCACGAAAGCGUGGGGAUCAAACAGGAUUAGAUACCCUGGUAGUCCACGCCCUAAACGAUGAACACUCGCUGUUGGCGAUACACAAUCAGCGGCUAAGCGAAAGCGUUAAGUGUUCCACCUGGGGAGUACGCCCGCAAGGGUGAAACUCAAAGGAAUUGACGGGGGCCCGCACAAGCGGAGGAGCAUGUGGUUUAAUUCGAUGAUACGCGAGGAACCUUACCCGGGCUUGAAAGUUAGUGAAUGAUCUAGGGAUAGAUCAGUGAGCAAUCACACGAAACUAGGUGCUGCAUGGCUGUCGUCAGCUCGUGCCGUGAGGUGUUGGGUUAAGUCCCGCAACGAGCGCAACCCCUAUGUUUAGUUGCCAGCAUGUAAUGAUGGGGACUCUAAACAGACUGCCUGUGCAAACAGAGAGGAAGGAGGGGACGACGUCAAGUCAUCAUGGCCCUUACGUCCGGGGCUACACACGUGCUACAAUGGAUGGUACAGAGGGCAGCUAGCUGGCAACAGUAUGCGAGUCUCACAAAGCCAUUCACAGUUCGGAUUGGGGUCUGCAACUCGACCCCAUGAAGUUGGAUUCGCUAGUAAUCGCGUAUCAGCAAUGACGCGGUGAAUACGUUCCCGGGCCUUGUACACACCGCCCGUCAAGCCAUGGAAGUUGGGGGUACAUAAAGUAUGUAACCGCAAGGAGCGUCCUAGGGUAAAACCGAAA
RNAcentral lists this ribosomal RNA (1421 nucleotides) under uncultured organism. Its description in RNAcentral is "SSU rRNA". It matches the Rfam family "Bacterial small subunit ribosomal RNA". The record is from RNAcentral.